RNAcentral lists this ribosomal RNA (466 nucleotides) under uncultured bacterium. RNAcentral describes it as "partial 16S ribosomal RNA". It matches the Rfam family "Bacterial small subunit ribosomal RNA", at positions 28 to 507 of the family's 1533-position model. The record is from RNAcentral.
GAUGAACGCUGGCGGCGUGCUUAACACAUGCAAGUCGAACGGAAAGGCUCCUGCUUGCAGGGGUACUCGAGUGGCGAACGGGUGAGUAACACGUGGGUGAUCUGCCCAGCACUUCGGGAUAAGCCUGGGAAACUGGGUCUAAUACCGGAUAGGACGAUGGUUUGGAUGCCAUUGUGGAAAGUUUUUUCGGUGUGGGAUGAGCUCGCGGCCUAUCAGCUUGUUGGUGGGGUAAUGGCCUACCAAGGCGUCGACGGGUAGCCGGCCUGAGAGGGUGUACGGCCACAUUGGGACUGAGACACGGCCCAGACUCCUACGGGAGGCAGCAGUGGGGAAUAUUGCACAAUGGGCGCAAGCCUGAUGCAGCGACGCCGCGUGGGGGAUGACGGCCUUCGGGUUGUAAACUCCUUUCGCUAGGGACGAAGCGCAAGUGACGGUACCUGGAGAAGAAGCACCGGCUAACUACGUG